Molecule: small RNA, 23 nt
Filed under: Arabidopsis thaliana (thale cress)
Lineage: Eukaryota; Viridiplantae; Streptophyta; Magnoliopsida; Brassicales; Brassicaceae
Description: ATSL116200
Source: RNAcentral
UGAAAAACAACAAAAAAACCAUA